This is a non-coding RNA of Gekko japonicus, 317 nucleotides long. NCBI's taxonomy places the organism in Eukaryota, Metazoa, Chordata, Lepidosauria, Squamata, Gekkonidae. The record is from the annotation of a RefSeq genome assembly.
UUGUCCUCUCAGAAGGCCAGCUGGUGGAGUCUGGAGGAGAUGUCAAAAGGCUCGGAGAGUCCCUCCGCCUUUCUUGUCAAGCUUCCCGGUAUGACUUUAGUACCUAUGGCAUGAACUGGAUAAGACACGCUUCUAGACAGGGUCUGGAAUGGGUGGCAUAUAUAAACAGUGGCGGAGGCACCCAAUACUAUGCCGGCUCGGUGCGAGGACGCUUCACCAUCUCCAGGAACGACCCUUCCAACACGGCGUAUCUGCAAAUGGGCAGCCUGAAACUUGAAGACACGGCCGUGUAUUACUGUGCGAGAGAUGCACAAUGA